Molecule: ribosomal RNA, 460 nt
Filed under: uncultured bacterium
Lineage: Bacteria
Description: partial 16S ribosomal RNA
Rfam family: Bacterial small subunit ribosomal RNA
Source: RNAcentral
ACUACGGGUGGCAGCAGUGAGGAAUAUUGGUCAAUGGCCGUAAGGCUGAACCAGCCAAGUCGCGUGAAGGAAGAAGGAUCUAUGGUUUGUAAACUUCUUUUAUAGGGGAAUGAAGGUAUCCACGUGUGGAUAUUUGCAUGUACCCUAUGACUAAGCAUCGGCUAACUCCGUGCCAGCAGCCGCGGUAAUACGGAGGAUGCGAGCGUUAUCCGGAUUUCUUGGGUUUAAAAGGUGCGUAGGUUGUUUUUUAAGUCAGCGGUGAAAGUUGGUGGCUCAACCAUCAAAUUGCCGUUGAUACUGGAAGACUUGAGUGUGUUUGAGGUAGGCGGAAUGCGUGGUGUAGCGGUGAAAUGCAUAGAUAUCACGCAGAACUCGGAUUGCGAAGGCAGAUUACUAAGCCAUAACUGACACUGAAGCAAGAAAGCGUGGGGAUCAAACAGGAUUAGAUACCCCUGUAGUC